GCCCAUCGGGUGGCCCUAAGUGCAUGGGCCACCCGAUAGGCCCCAUCAGCGUGCGGGCCUCGGUGCAACUGCACCAGUGGCAUUUCCGCCGCUACACAUGGGGCUCGGGCGGCUGGGCCCCCCAGGGCCGCCGGGCCUGUGACAACCGUCAUGGUUGUCACCCCCUGAUGGCGGCCCUGUUGGACACCGCAACAUUUUGACCUGUACCCAGGUCUUUAUCAAGUCUCCCGUGUCCCUAUGUAUCACAGCGUCUCCCUGCCCUAUGUCUCCAAGUGCAGUGGCGUACAUACCAGGGUCACAGGGGUCGCGACUGCGAC
Non-coding RNA from Pelobates cultripes (western spadefoot toad), 317 nucleotides. The record is from the annotation of a GenBank genome assembly. NCBI's taxonomy places the organism in Eukaryota, Metazoa, Chordata, Amphibia, Anura, Pelobatidae.